Molecule: ribosomal RNA, 497 nt
Filed under: uncultured bacterium
Lineage: Bacteria
Description: partial 16S ribosomal RNA
Rfam family: Bacterial small subunit ribosomal RNA
Source: RNAcentral
AUUGAACGCUGGCGGAAUGCUUUACACAUGCAAGUCGAACUGCAGCACGGGGCAACCUGGUGGCGAGUGGCGAACGGGUGAGUAAUACAUCGGAACGUGCCCAAUCGUGGGGGAUAACGUAGCGAAAGCUACGCUAAUACCGCAUACGAUCUACGGAUGAAAGCGGGGAUCGCAAGACCUCGCGCGCAUGGAGCGGCCGAUGGCAGAUUAGGUAGUUGGUGGGGUAAAGGCUCACCAAGCCGACGAUCUGUAGCUGGUCUGAGAGGACGACCAGCCACACUGGGACUGAGACACGGCCCAGACUCCUACGGGAGGCAGCAGUGGGGAAUUUUGGACAAUGGGCGCAAGCCUGAUCCAGCCAUUCCGCGUGCAGGAUGAAGGCCUUCGGGUUGUAAACUGCGUUUGUACGGAACGAAAAGGCUCUGGUGAACCCCCGGGUUUCUUGACGGUACCGUAAGAAUAAGCACCGGCUAACUACGUGCCAGCCGCCGCAGUAA